This 292-nucleotide ribosomal RNA is filed under the name uncultured bacterium. RNAcentral describes it as "partial 16S ribosomal RNA". It matches the Rfam family "Bacterial small subunit ribosomal RNA", at positions 505 to 796 of the family's 1533-position model. The record is from RNAcentral.
GUGCCAGCAGCCGCGGUAAUACGAGAGGCCCAAACGUUAUUCGGAUUUACUGGGCUUAAAGAGUUCGUAGGCGGCGCGGAAAGUAGGGUGUGAAAGCCCUCGGCUCAACCGAGGAAUUGCGCUCUAAACUGUCGCGCUCGAGGAACCUAGAGGUGAGCGGAACUGAUGGUGGAGCGGUGAAAUGCGUUGAUAUCAUCAGGAACACCGGAGGCGAAGGCGGCUCACUGGGGGUUAUCUGACGCUGAGGAACGAAAGCCAGGGGAGCAAACGGGAUUAGAUACCCCUGUAGUCC